GUAUGGGAGUGAGAAUGUUGGCAUGAGUAGCGAGAUGUGGGUGAGAAUCCCACAGGCCGUAAACCCAAGGUUUCCAGGGGAAGGUUCGUCCGCCCUGGGUUAGUCGGGACCUAAGCUGAGGCCGAAAGGCGUAGGUGAUGGACAACAGGUUGAUAUUCCUGUACUACCGAUAACCAUUUGAGAGAAGGGAUGACACAGUAGGAUAAGCUAAGCACACUGUUGGUUAUGUGUGCCCAAGCAUUGAGGCAGUCAAAGUAGGCAAAUCCGCUUUGAUAAUGCUGGGAUGUGAUGGGGAGCGAAAUUUAGUAGCGAAGUAGCUGAUUUCACACUGUCAAGAAAAGUCUCUAUCGAGGUUAAAGGUACCCGUACCGCAAACCGACACAGGUGGGUGAGGAGAGUAUCCUAAGGCCAGCGAGAGAACUGUUGUUAAGGAACUCGGCAAAAUGACCCCGUAACUUAGGGAUAAGGGGUGCCACCAUCAGGUGGCCGCAGAGAAUAGGCCCAAGCGACUGUUUACCAAAAACAUAGGUUUCUGCUAAGUCGCAAGACGAUGUAUAGGAGCUGACGCCUGCCCGGUGCUGGAAGGUUAAGGGGAUCUGUUAGAGCAAUCGAAGCAGUGAACUUAAGCCCCAGUAAACGGCGGCCGUAACUAUAACGGUCCUAAGGUAGCGAAAUUCCUUGUCGGGUAAGUUCCGACCCGCACGAAAGGCGUAACGAUUUGGGCACUGUCUCAACAACAGACUCGGUGAAAUUGUAAUUCCGGUGAAGAUGCCGGAUACCUGCGACAGGACGGAAAGACCCCAUGGAGCUUUACUGUAGCUUGACAUUGGGUCUUGGUACUACAUGUACAGGAUAGGUGGGAGGCUUUGAAACCAGGACGCCAGUUUUGGCGGAGCCAUCCUUGGGAUACCACCCUUGUAGUACUGGGACUCUAACCAUAGGCCAUGAAUCUGGUCUUGGGACACUGUCAGGUGGGCAGUUUGACUGGGGCGGUCGCCUCCCAAAAGGUAACGGAGGCGCUCAAAGGUUCUCUCAGUACGGUCGGAAAUCGUACGUAGAGUGUAAAGGCAAAAGAGAGCUUGAUUGCAAGACAUACAGGUCGAGCAAGGAUGAAAAUCGGACUUAGUGAUCCGGUGGUUCUGCGUGGAAGGGCCAUCGCUCAACGGAUAAAAGCUACCCUGGGGAUAACAGGCUUAUCUCCCCCAAGAGUCCACAUCGACGGGGAGGUUUGGCACCUCGAUGUCGGCUCAUCACAUCCUGGGGCUGUAGUAGGUCCCAAGGGUUGGGCUGUUCGCCCAUUAAAGUGGUACGCGAGCUGGGUUCAGAACGUCGUGAGACAGUUCGGUCCCUAUCCGUCGCAGGCGUAGGAAAUUUGAGAAGACCUGUCCUUAGUACGAGAGGACCGGGAUGGACGUACCUCUGGUGUACCAGUUGUCCUGCCAAGGGCAUGGCUGGGUAGCUAUGUACGGAAUGGAUAAGCGCUGAAAGCAUCUAAGCGCGAAGCCAACUUCAAGAUAAGAUUUCCCACCGCAAGGGUAAGACCCCAGAAAGACUAUCUGGUUGA
RNAcentral lists this ribosomal RNA (1564 nucleotides) under Clostridioides difficile. Its description in RNAcentral is "bacterial LSU rRNA". It matches the Rfam family "Bacterial large subunit ribosomal RNA", at positions 1280 to 2856 of the family's 2925-position model. The record is from RNAcentral. Lineage: Bacteria; Bacillati; Bacillota; Clostridia; Peptostreptococcales; Peptostreptococcaceae.